GCUUUGCGAUUCGUUAAAAGCUGACCUCGAAACGACCAAAAUGUCAAUGUCCCUACAUUCAAGCAGGGUCGUUAAAUGACGAACAUGCAGCAUAUCCUGGCGUUCGCGCACGCCGGAAACAAACUAAAAAACACUUUUGCAAAUCGCUGACACAAUAACGACGCAUAUCAGACACGCGCACGCACGCACGCACGCACGCGCGCGCGCACACACACACACACACACACACAGAACACAAGCAGUGUCCGAAAGCACUCGCGACAGACAGUGCGGACGUUCUCGCGCGUUGGCAAAUCGAGCCGGCGUGGCAGCAGCGUCCGAUGCACAGACGGCACUCUUCAUGAACUAUACACAUCCGCAAAACGGCACACAAGCCAGAACAAAGUGCGUCGACGACGCCACUCGACACCAAAUGCGUGGUCGAUACCGCCGCAUAAAACACCAACACCUCGUAGAAUUCACAAACCAAACCACGAUAUGCUGCGAUUUAACGGCCCUGACCGGUUGAUACGGCUGCUCCGCAGGUUGCUGUCCUCGAUGUUGAAAGAAACGUUGUUGAAACACGCCGCAUCACUCGCAUAACAUGUGAAUACCAGCCGCCACCAUCGAUGCGAUCACGAUUACCAUGGAGCACCGUGCCGAUACAGUGGUGCCGAGGAGCCAGAGACCAACGUUGCCUGAGACGACAAAACGGUAGACGACGAUGUAAACAAUAUGGCCGCCAUGACGUUUAUCCGGCUCUUGCAAAGCUUCCGGUGCCUCUAUCUUGACGAAAUGACAUCAUUUUUCCGUGUUCGGCUGUCAAAAUGUUCCCAGUCUAGACACGUUGGGCUGUCGGUAUGUGAGCGCAGCAUGAAUAUUUUCCUUGCGGACGGUCGAUGUGGUAGUUUAAUCAUAUUUACGCUUUGCCGAGAGAAAAUGUGCUCUUUUUUGUGCGCAUCAGCGAUCGCUAAACCCCUGGGCCUGUGCAACGCUGCUAGCUAGCUGUAUCUCUCGUGCGGUGCGGCGUUGUUGGUUAUCGUAGUUCGGUCCAUUCGUGCUCUUUGUUCCCGGCACAUUAGCAGCCUCUGGUACUCUCGCCGAUCUCGCAGCGGUUCACAGUGCACGGAAGAAUGUGUUGGAAAUUGUACUAUUACGUUCAUCCGCAAUUUAACAGUGUUUAUGCCGGCAGGACAGUUCGUGCAGUCGAUGCCGCCGGACCUGACACGAAGGAGCGUUUGCCGAGUAUGUCUCGAAAGGUAAGUCCGGCGCUUGGCGCAUUUUUAUAGUUCGUGUAGUGUGCCUUGUUAGGCGGAGCACAAGAUGAUUAGUACAGCGACAAAAAUUAUAAAAGUGAUUUCCUAAUGUUUGUUAUUAAUGCCGUAGUACACAUUUAGCAAAACGUUUUAUGAAAAUUACCCUCAGACAAGUAUAGAAUGUUGCCAAGAGCUUCAUAUAUUGUUUCUUUGCUUUCUGUUAUGAAAUACACUAGCGCCGAGUAUCGUUUAGUCUGAACGGGCACAAAAAUUGAUGCCGCGAAUGUCACUGCUUCUGUACGUAAUUUCUCAGCAAGAAAUGGUAUAUGUGGUGAAGUACGUUGACGUGUUGUCUUCACAGCUAACAUCUGCGCGAGACGGCACCGGAUUGCUCUGUCUGACUCAUGAGCACAUUUUAGCUUGUAUGCAAUUUUUUCUGCUUAUAUAUUGUCAAGACAACCUGUGUUUCUUGUGUUGAGUGUUCUGUAUGUCUUCGUCCAUUUGACAGGUUAAAUAACUGCCCGUGAUGUCAGAAUGAGAUAUUUGCACAACCAUGUAGCUGGCUGAGGUCUUUUCACAAUUUAACGCGAUGUUGUUAAAUCACAAGUUUGCAGUUUCAGCAGUAAUUGCAAUAAACUGAACAUUUCUUAUUGUUUAGGGAUGUCACGAUUUCGGGAGACGGAUGCAAUCUCUGCACCACAUGGGAGCCUGUGGCAAAAUGCAGUCUGAGCAGCCCGACAAGGAAUCUGAUCUGCUUGCUUUGACAAGGUAUGGCUGGGCCUGCAGAGAAAGUGUAAGCAGACUGUGCUGUGUUGCUGAUCAGUGCUGAUCUCCACGCCUGAGUUGGUCCCACAACAUCCAGGCACCAGCGUGCUUUGCUUCAUCAUUGACAAGGUGCGCGGCAAGCUCUCACUCAAGCAACACAUUCCAGUGGUCUUCUGUCAACAGACUGGGUCUAUUGAAGUACCAUUACAAGGUCCAAUAAACAACGCUUGCGA
Molecule: long non-coding RNA, 2233 nt
Organism: Dermacentor silvarum
Lineage: Eukaryota; Metazoa; Arthropoda; Arachnida; Ixodida; Ixodidae
Exons: 3
Source: RefSeq, a predicted model, not a curated record